UCCUUUGCCUCCUCCUCUUCAGAGACGGCAAGCAAUUUGAUCUAUUAUCUGUUAACUUCUCUGGGAAUAUUUUGAGCCUGCUCACCUGAGUCCAUUGCAUCCAUUAUCACAUGGGUGAAGUGUUUGUCCUCUGCUUCAGGGGCCAGAUGUGAUUCUCACAUAGAAGGGAGUUUGAGCCACAGCAGCCUUGGAGUCGGGAUAGCAGGUGAGAAGAUGCAGUCAACCAGCCCAGCAUGGAAGUCCCAAGAGAGCAGGGUACCUGGGACUCAAGCCAGAGGCAAGUCAAGACAUCACCCAUGAUGUCACUGGUCUUCUUCAAAAACGAAGGAUGAAUAAACAACAACGAGGUGCAAGGGUAGGGGAAAAA
RNAcentral lists this long non-coding RNA (367 nucleotides) under Monodelphis domestica (gray short-tailed opossum). RNAcentral's name for it is "lncRNA (ENSMODG00000039135.1)". Lineage: Eukaryota; Metazoa; Chordata; Mammalia; Didelphimorphia; Didelphidae. The record is from RNAcentral.